Molecule: ribosomal RNA, 497 nt
Filed under: uncultured bacterium
Lineage: Bacteria
Description: partial 16S ribosomal RNA
Rfam family: Bacterial small subunit ribosomal RNA
Source: RNAcentral
GAUGAACGCUGGCGGCGUGCCUAAUACAUGCAAGUCGAGCGAACGGACGAGAAGCUUGCUUCUCUGAUGUUAGCGGCGGACGGGUGAGUAACACGUGGAUAACCUACCUAUAAGACUGGGAUAACUUCGGGAAACCGGAGCUAAUACCGGAUAAUAUUUUGAACCGCAUGGUUCAAAAGUGAAAGACGGUCCUGCUGUCACUUAUAGAUGGAUCCGCGCUGCAUUAGCUAGUUGGUAAGGUAACGGCUUACCAAGGCAACGAUGCAUAGCCGACCUGAGAGGGAGGUCGGCCACACUGGAAGAGAGAAACGGCCCAGACUCCGACGGGAGGCAGCAGUAGGGAAUCUUCCGCGAUGGGCGAAAGCCGGACGGAGCAACGCCGGGUGAGGGAUGAAGGUCUUCGGAUCGGAAAACUCUGUUAUUAGGGAAGAACAUAUGUGUUAGUAACUGUGCACAUCUUGACGGUACCUAAUCAGAAAGCCACGGCUAACUACGUG